ACCCCAAUUCAAUUUUCUUUGUUUGAUUUGCUUUACAAACUUUAUUUAAAUUAUCUUUUAAAUCGAAACGCCAUAAAAAUACAAGUUUCUGGCAAGCGUUUAUCUUAGCAGUUAGCCAAGUGAUGAGCAUUUGAUUACCUGCAAAUGUUUAAUCAACUGCUCAUUUUUCUCCCAUUUAAACCCUAACCUUUGCUUCUAUCAUCUAUCCAUGGAUACUCGUCGACCUUCUCGCCUUAUCGAUCCAAAGGUUCGUCGGGUGGGAUUCUUCGCACCCGACCCGGAUAACCAUCCCAGACUUGCCUCAUCUCCCUCCGGGUACUCUUCAUCUCCGGCGAUGAUCUCUCAUGCCUUCGACAGCGUCUCACAAGCUGUGCCUGUUCCCAAUUCUACCUUGUCGCGGCCUCGACGAACUUCUUUUGACGAAAGUGAGCAAUUUGUGGUUGGAAGUUACAAUCCUAUGCAGUCCGUGCUGGGAACUUCACCGGCAUCCAGCGGAAUUGGUGUAGAUGGCGAAUUUUCCGAGGACUCCUCUCAGUGGGUUCGUUUAACCGAUGGUUUCGGUUUGACUUCACCUGCGAAAUCAAUGACUGAGUUGAAAGACGAUCAGGAUACCUCUAGCAUGGAACGGGUCAGUGCACUAGUGGCUGAAACACCAACUGAAGUAGAAAGAAAUGAUAAGUCACUGAAAGAAAAGACCACGAAAGCUGAAAGGCGUGCGCUGCAGGAGACUCAACGAGCUGCAAAAGCUUCGGGAAAAGCUGGGGGAAAAUCUGUGGUAAAGUUACAUGGACAGUCUGGUAAACCUGCUAAGCAGCCUCCACAAAAGAAAGAUGGUGGACCAAUGAUGUCAUCUGCAGCUCUUUCUGAGACAAAAGGAGGUGACGGACCACCAGAAAAGGAUCGCAAGAAAGAUGUACCAGCUCCUAGGAUGCAAUUUGAUGAUAAGAAUCGUGUUGAAAAAGCUAAGAAGCGUGCACUAGUUAAAAAGAUUGAAGCUAGAAAUAGAGUAGAAUUGUUUCGGCAUUUACCGCAGUAUGAACAAGGAACUCAGCUACCUGAUCUUGAAUCGAGGUUUUUCCACCUUGAUACCAUGCAUCCUGCAGUAUACAAGGUCGGAUUGCAGUAUUUGGCUGGAGAUGUAGUUGGGGCCAAUGCUCGCUGUGUUGCAAUGCUACAAGCAUUUCAACAAGCCAUCAAAGAUUACUCUACACCUCGGGAAAAAGCUCUAGGUAGAGAUUUAACAGCAAGAAUCAGUGGCUACGUAUCAUUUCUUAAUGAGUGUAGGCCUCUUUCUAUUAGCAUGGGGAAUGCAAUUCGCUUUCUUAAAGCUCGUAUAGCCAAGUUAUCUUUAACUCUUUCUGAGUCAGAAGCAAAAGCUGCUCUGUAUUCAGAUAUUGAGCGCUUCAUGAAUGAGAAGAUAGCAUUAGCUGGCAGAGUAAUAACAAGACAGGCAGUUAUGAAGAUCAGAGAUGGUGACGUUCUUCUCACGUAUGGCUCUUCCUCUGUUGUUGAGAUGAUUCUGCUACAUGCUUAUGAGCUCGGGAAACAAUUCCGUGUAAUAGUGGUUGAUUCUCGCCCUAAAUUUGAAGGCCGGGCACUACUUCGGAGGUUGGUAAGGAAGGGCCUAAGUUGUACAUAUACUCAUCUAAAUGCUGUUUCGUACAUUAUGCAUGAAGUCUCUAGAGUGUUAAUGGGUGCUGAAUCUGUAUUAUCUAAUGGGACUGUGUACUCUAUAAUUGGGACUGCAUGUGUUGCUAUGGUUGCUCAUGCAUUCCGUGUUCCUCUGCUGAUUUGUUGUGAAGCUUAUAAGUUUCAUGAGAGAGUACAACUUGAUUCUGUUUCUUCCAAUGAGCUGGGUAACCCAGAUGUCAUUUCCAAGAUUCCUGGUAGACUGGAUGUCAAUUACUUGGAUAACUGGAGAAGUAAUGAUAAUAUUCAGCUUCUGAAUUUGAUCUUCUUUCUGCACCAUGUGCAUUGAUACAUUACAAGGCAUCGGGGUGGGAAGAAGAAACGUAACUGAUGUCUGGGAAAACUUUCUUGACGUCAAGAAAGAAAAAGCUCACUUUAAUCUUAUGAAGUAUUAUGGAGUAGGAGUUCAGAAGAACAAAAAAUAUCUGCUAGAGCUACCAAACAUUUGGAAGAACAAAGAAAGUUGUCCUUGAGCUACGAGGAGAAGUCAUUCCUCACUGAUAUGGUCCUCCUAAAAUCACUGCCUUGACACCUUUGUAUGACGCUACUCCGUCAGACUAUAUCUCAAUGAUCAUUACAGAUUAUGGCAUGAUACCAACCACAAGUGUGCCUGUGAUUGUGCACGAGUAUGGGAGCGAACACCUCCUGAUAUAAAUUGUCCUGUUUGGAUGUGACAAAGAAGGAACAAUUACCAACUUACUGGCAAUUUUUGCUGUCAGAUAACAACACCUUAUAGGAAAUGAAUGCUUGCAUUUAAAUUAUUUACCAUAUUAAAGAAAAGAAUGCAUGCAUUAAAAUUGUCUUGGAGAUCAUAGAAAUUUGCAUAGUUUUCAAUAAGGUCUUUCUCUUUUUACUCUGUGUCUAACGACAGUUGUUCACUAUACUAAUUUAGAAUGUCCAACAAUAUUUGUCCACUUUAUUAGAUUAUUUACAUAGUUCUCUGAUGAAAAUAACUAGGUCAUAGUUGUCAGGUGAGUUGGACGGAUUCCUUGUAUAUUUCAAUGCAAAAUGUCUCAUGGAAAAUUCUGCAA
Molecule: non-coding RNA, 2720 nt
Organism: Solanum lycopersicum (tomato)
Lineage: Eukaryota; Viridiplantae; Streptophyta; Magnoliopsida; Solanales; Solanaceae
Source: RefSeq, a predicted model, not a curated record